Long non-coding RNA from Apis mellifera (honey bee), 1331 nucleotides. RefSeq lists it as uncharacterized. NCBI's taxonomy places the organism in Eukaryota, Metazoa, Arthropoda, Insecta, Hymenoptera, Apidae. The record is from RefSeq and is a predicted model, not a curated record. The transcript is spliced from 5 exons.
UUUUUUUUUUUACAGAUAAAACAUCCAUUAUUUAUUCAAGUAUAAAAAUGCAUUAAAAAAUUAUAUUCUCUUCCAUUCUAUCCAAUUCAACUUUUCUACAAAAUAAUUUUUCUAGAACAAACAAUGAAUUAUUUGAAAUGAUCACGUUAUCCUGCAUAUAAUUACCAAAUUUCCGCAAAAUAUACAACCCAAGCAAAAUCGCGUUUACGUGAUGUCAGCUGAUAACUCUAUAAAAUCACGCAUACGUGGCAACAACGAUCGUCAAGAAUAAAAACGGAGGAUCUUAUCGAUAUACGUUCGAUGAAAUUAUUAUGAUUUCUAAGGAAUCGAGGGGAUCAAUUCUUUGGACUUUCUUUCAAGUUUCUCGAAACACGCGAUUCCGGAAUUAAGAGACAGGCCCGACGUUCGUUUGGGUGAAGAUCGAUAAAAUUGCCGUGCUAAGUAUUCACGAUGCUAACGGCUCUCGCCAUCCUGGAUAAGGUGGUAAAUUUCGCUUAAAUCGAAUCUCACACGAUUCCGUGAAAGUGGAAUGAAAAAAAAAGAGGAAAAGAUAAAGGAAAGUGGAAAUCAAAGUGUGAUUUAGACGAUGAGUUGACUUUCUAACAUAUACAAUUUGUUAAUGGCAUAACGUUUGUUAAUGAAACAGAAAUCUGGAAUUAAUAUUUGAAAAUUGUGGAUUAAAAAGGAAUAAAAUAGGAAAUUUUCUUUCCUUGUUAUUUAUAUUUAUAUUUUUUAUUAUUUGAAAUACAGAAGAGAAUACUUUAACUUGUUAAAUUCAAAUUUUUCAAAAAUUUAAUAAAUUUAGGAAAUAUAAAAUUAAAAGGUUCUCGAAAAUUUUCUAGAUAUAUUUAUUUGCAGGAUACAGAAAGAAUUGACAACGAGUUGAAUUUAAAAAUUAUUAAAUAUCCUAUAAUUAAUUAUUAAUUGACACAGGAAAUAUGAUUGUUCAAUAAUUAAAAUAGAAUUUCUAGUUCUAUUUUUAAACUAGAAUAUUCUUAUUUCUAACUCUAUCAUCUGAUGAACUUAAAAUCCACGCAAUUUAUAUGCAUGAAAUUAGCAAUAUGUAGUAAUUUAUUCAUUGUGAAGUCGUAUGUUGCUCGGACAAGCAAUAAAAGCAAUAUUAGCAAGACAAAGGAAUGGUUAUUGAACGUGCAAGGGAAAAGCAGACAAAAGAGAUUAAUUUAUAGGAGUAACAAGUUCACUCAAUCAGAUUAUUAAAUUAACCGAGUGGAGAGAUAUCAAUUAACAAGAAAUUGAAUUAGUUGUGGAGUAGAUUGUUAUCUUCUGUGGAAUAUAUGAAAAUAUGAUUAUAUAAAAUUUAUCAUGAUUUA